GACGAACGCUGGCGGCGUGCUUAACACAUGCAAGUCGAACGGAAAGGCCCUGCUUUUGUGGGGUGCUCGAGUGGCGAACGGGUGAGUAACACGUGAGUAACCUGCCCUUGACUUUGGGAUAACUUCAGGAAACUGGGGCUAAUACCGGAUAGGAGCUCCUGCUGCAUGGUGGGGUUGGAAAGUUUCGGCGGUUGGGGAUGGACUCGCGGCUUAUCAGCUUGUUGGUGGGGUAGUGGCUUACCAAGGCUUUGACGGGUAGCCGGCCUGAGAGGGUGACCGGCCACAUUGGGACUGAGAUACGGCCCAGACUCCUACGGGAGGCAGCAGUGGGGAAUAUUGCACAAUGGGCGGAAGCCUGAUGCAGCAACGCCGCGUGCGGGAUGACGGCCUUCGGGUUGUAAACCGCUUUCGCCUGUGACGAAGCGUGAGUGACGGUAAUGGGUAAAGAAGCACCGGCUAACUACGUGCCAGCAGCCGCGGUGAUACGUAGGGUGCGAGCGUUGUCCGGAUUUAUUGGGCGUAAAGGGCUCGUAGGUGGUUGAUCGCGUCGGAAGUGUAAUCUUGGGGCUUAACCCUGAGCGUGCUUUCGAUACGGGUUGACUUGAGGAAGGUAGGGGAGAAUGGAAUUCCUGGUGGAGCGGUGGAAUGCGCAGAUAUCAGGAGGAACACCAGUGGCGAAGGCGGUUCUCUGGGCCUUUCCUGACGCUGAGGAGCGAAAGCGUGGGGAGCGAACAGGCUUAGAUACCCUGGUAGUCCACGCUGUAAACGGUGGGUACUAGGUGUGGGGUCCAUUCCACGGGUUCCGUGCCGUAGCUAACGCUUUAAGUACCCCGCCUGGGGAGUACGGCCGCAAGGCUAAAACUCAAAGGAAUUGACGGGGCCCCGCACAAGCGGCGGAGCAUGCGGAUUAAUUCGAUGCAACGCGUAGAACCUUACCUGGGUUUGACAUGGAUCGGGAGCGCUCAGAGAUGGGUGUGCCUCUUUUGGGGUCGGUUCACAGGUGGUGCAUGGCUGUCGUCAGCUCGUGUCGUGAGAUGUUGGGUUAAGUCCCGCAACGAGCGCAACCCUUGUUCACUGUUGCCAGCACGUUAUGGUGGGGACUCAGUGGAGACCGCCGGGGUCAACUCGGAGGAAGGUGGGGAUGACGUCAAGUCAUCAUGCCCCUUAUGUCCAGGGCUUCACGCAUGCUACAAUGGCUGGUACAGAGAGUGGCGAGCCUGUGAGGGUGAGCGAAUCUCGGAAAGCCGGUCUCAGUUCGGAUUGGGGUCUGCAACUCGACCUCAUGAAGUCGGAGUCGCUAGUAAUCGCAGAUCAGCAACGCUUCGGUGAAUACGUUCCCGGGGCU
RNAcentral lists this ribosomal RNA (1345 nucleotides) under uncultured bacterium. Its description in RNAcentral is "bacterial SSU rRNA". It matches the Rfam family "Bacterial small subunit ribosomal RNA", at positions 28 to 1381 of the family's 1533-position model. The record is from RNAcentral.